AGCUCCAGUAGCGUAUAUUAAAGUUGUUGCAGUUAAAAAGCUCGUAGUUGAAUUUCUGGGGUAAAAUGCCUGGUCCGUCUCGAAUGAGAAUGAGUAUCAGUUUGCAUUUUCCUCAUCCUUCUAGAUAUCUGCAUGGCCUUCAUUGUGUUUGUGUUAGUGUCUAGAUCUUUUACUUUGAAAAAAUUAGAGUGUUUAAAGCAGGCUUUGCGCUAUGAAUACAUUAGCAUGGAAUAAUAAUAUAGGACUUUGGUCUUUGUUAUUGGUUUCUGGACUAAAGUAAUGAUUGAUAGGGAUAGUUGGGGGUGCUAGUAUUGAAUGGCCAGAGGUGAAAUUCAUGGAUUCAUUCAAGACUAACUAAUGCGAAAGCAUUCACCAAGGAUAUCUUCUUUAAUCAAGAACG
RNAcentral lists this ribosomal RNA (400 nucleotides) under phytoplankton environmental sample. Its description in RNAcentral is "partial small subunit ribosomal RNA". It matches the Rfam family "Eukaryotic small subunit ribosomal RNA", at positions 587 to 985 of the family's 1831-position model. The record is from RNAcentral.